This 492-nucleotide ribosomal RNA is filed under the name uncultured bacterium. RNAcentral describes it as "partial 16S ribosomal RNA". It matches the Rfam family "Bacterial small subunit ribosomal RNA", at positions 29 to 507 of the family's 1533-position model. The record is from RNAcentral.
AGUGAACGCUGGCGGUAGGCCUAACACAUGCAAGUCGAACGGCCGCACAGUAAGAGCUUGCUCUUACGGGUGGCGAGUGGCGGACGGGUGAGGAAUACAUCGGAAACUACUUUUUCGUGGGGGAUUACGUAGGGAAAUUUACGCUAAUACCGCAUACGACUUACGGGUGAAAGCAGGGGAUCUUCGGACCUUGCCGGUUUGAAUGAGCCGAUGCCGGAUUAGCUAGUUGGCGGGGUAAAGGCCCACCAAGGCAACGAUCCGUAGCUGGUCUGAGAGGAUGAUCAGCCACACUGGAACUGAGACACGGUCCAGACUCCUACGGGAGGCAGCAGUGGGGAAUAUUGGACAAUGGGCGCAAGCCUGAUCCAGCCAUACCGCGUGGGUGAAGAAGGCCUUCGGGUUGUAAAGCCCUUUUGUUGGGAAAGAAAAGCAGCAGGUUAAUACCCCGCUGUUCUGACGGUACCCAAAGAAUAAGCACCGGCUAACUUCGUG